GAAUUCGCCCUUAGAGUUUGAUCCUGGCUCAGGACGAACGCUGGCGGCGCGCCUAACACAUGCAAGUCGAACGAGCGAGAGAGAGCUUGCUUUCUCAAGCGAGUGGCGAACGGGUGAGUAACGCGUGAGGAACCUGCCUCAAAGAGGGGGACAACAGUUGGAAACGACUGCUAAUACCGCAUAAGCCCACGACCCGGCAUCGGGAAGAGGGAAAAGGAGCAAUCCGCUUUGAGAUGGCCUCGCGUCCGAUUAGCUAGUUGGUGAGGUAACGGCCCACCAAGGCGACGAUCGGUAGCCGGACUGAGAGGUUGAACGGCCACAUUGGGACUGAGACACGGCCCAGACUCCUACGGGAGGCAGCAGUGGGGAAUAUUGCACAAUGGGGGAAACCCUGAUGCAGCGACGCCGCGUGGAGGAAGAAGGUCUUCGGAUUGUAAACUCCUGUUGUUGAGGAAGAUAAUGACGGUACUCAACAAGGAAGUGACGGCUAACUACGUGCCAGCAGCCGCGGUAAAACGUAGGUCACAAGCGUUGUCCGGAAUUACUGGGUGUAAAGGGAGCGCAGGCGGGAAGACAAGUUGGAAGUGAAAUCCAUGGGCUCAACCCAUGAACUGCUUUCAAAACUGUUUUUCUUGAGUAGUGCAGAGGUAGGCGGAAUUCCCGGUGUAGCGGUGGAAUGCGUAGAUAUCGGGAGGAACACCAGUGGCGAAGGCGGCCUACUGGGCACCAACUGACGCUGAGGCUCGAAAGUGUGGGUAGCAAACAGGAUUAGAUACCCUGGUAGUCCACACCGUAAACGAUGAUU
RNAcentral lists this ribosomal RNA (805 nucleotides) under uncultured bacterium. Its description in RNAcentral is "bacterial SSU rRNA". It matches the Rfam family "Bacterial small subunit ribosomal RNA", at positions 1 to 814 of the family's 1533-position model. The record is from RNAcentral.